GAGAUUCCUUUUGAAGAAGAUACUUUGAGAAAUACAUGGUCACCAACUUGAAAUUCUAAUUUUCGUCUCCUGUUGUCUGCAUAACUUUUCUGUCUGCUUUGUGCUGCCCGAAGUCAUUCUUUAAUUAAUUGAAUCUUCUCGACUGCUUGUUGAACAAGUUCGGGACCCAAUAUUCUUCGCUCACCAACAUCAUCUCAGUGAAUCGGCGAUCGACAUCUUCUACCAUAUAAUGCUUCAUAAG
RNAcentral lists this long non-coding RNA (241 nucleotides) under Elaeis guineensis (African oil palm). RNAcentral's name for it is "long non-coding RNA (EGUI_LNC009199)". The record is from RNAcentral. Lineage: Eukaryota; Viridiplantae; Streptophyta; Magnoliopsida; Arecales; Arecaceae.